AUUGAACGCUGGCGGCAUGCCUUACACAUGCAAGUCGAACGGCAGCAUGGAGAGCUUGCUCUCUGAUGGCGAGUGGCGAACGGGUGAGUAAUGCAUCGGAACGUACCGUGUAAUGGGGGAUAACGUAGCGAAAGUUACGCUAAUACCGCAUACGACCUGAGGGUGAAAGCAGGGGAUCGCAAGACCUUGCGUUAUACGAGCGGCCGAUGUCAGAUUAGCUAGUUGGUGAGGUAAAGGCUCACCAAGGCGACGAUCUGUAGCGGGUCUGAGAGGAUGAUCCGCCAUACCGGGACUGAGACACGGCCCAGACUCCUACGGGAGGCAGCAGUGGGGAAUUUUGGACAAUGGGGGCAACCCUGAUCCAGCCAUGCCGCGUGAGUGAAGAAGGCCUUCGGGUUGUAAAGCUCUUUCGGCCGGGAAGAAAUCGCACAGGCUAAUACUCUGUGUGGAUGACGGUACCGGCAUAAGAAGCACCGGCUAACUACGUGCCAGCCGCCGCGGUAA
RNAcentral lists this ribosomal RNA (504 nucleotides) under uncultured bacterium. RNAcentral describes it as "partial 16S ribosomal RNA". It matches the Rfam family "Bacterial small subunit ribosomal RNA", at positions 30 to 523 of the family's 1533-position model. The record is from RNAcentral.